RNAcentral lists this small nuclear RNA (163 nucleotides) under Manduca sexta (tobacco hornworm). RNAcentral describes it as "U1 spliceosomal RNA". It matches the Rfam family "U1 spliceosomal RNA". Rfam says of the family: U1 is a small nuclear RNA (snRNA) component of the spliceosome (involved in pre-mRNA splicing). Its 5' end forms complementary base pairs with the 5' splice junction, thus defining the 5' donor site of an intron. The record is from RNAcentral. Lineage: Eukaryota; Metazoa; Arthropoda; Insecta; Lepidoptera; Sphingidae.
AUACUUACCUGGCGUAGGGGACACCGUGAUCAAGAAGGCGGUUCCCCCAGGGCGAGGCCUGUUCAUUGCACUGCGAACGGGUUGACCCUUGCGAUUACCCCUAAUGUGGGUAACUCGGACGCGUAAUUUUUGGUAGUGGGGACUGCGUACGCGCCGUCCCCAU